Bubalus bubalis (water buffalo) is the source of this 861-nucleotide long non-coding RNA. RefSeq lists it as uncharacterized. NCBI's taxonomy places the organism in Eukaryota, Metazoa, Chordata, Mammalia, Artiodactyla, Bovidae. The transcript is spliced from 3 exons. The record is from RefSeq and is a predicted model, not a curated record.
GGGCGCCCCGAUCGGCCCACCGGCCGUCAGGCUCAACGCUGGCGAUCCUGUGCGCAUCUGGUUCAGAGUCUGCCUGCUUUGCUCGCCCCCGCCGAACGGGUUGGUGGGGGAUGGAGUGCUGAGACCUGCGGAACGAGGGCUCUCUGUCCCAACGACGAUGGGCUCCAGCUCCAGCACCAUUGGCCACAGAGAUGCAAUAGCUCCGAGGGGUACCUGGCCAAGGUCCUGCAGCAAGUUGAACCCAGGUCCCCUGAUUCAAGUUCCUGGACUCUUCCAGCUGUGCCCCAUCCAGCUCAGGGUCAAGUGUGGUGGGAGGGCAAGAGGUUGCACUCAGUCAAGGUCACAGCUCUCCAAGCCCUCAGCACAUUGUUAAGGAAGGCCAUUCUGAGUGCCCUCAGAUCAGGGAAGUGCCCCUCUUCUCGGGGAGGAGAGUGGCGUAUGCAGUUGCCCCAAUUUUCAAGAGCAGUGCCCUUGAGCUGGGGGUUCAAGAGGAAUGCUGCUCUGCAGCACCAUGUGCUGCCUAUCUGAGCACAGGGUCGAGGGCAGUCCUGGGCUUGGUUUCAUUUAAUCCUCAAAUUGGACAAUGGAGACAGAUUAGUUUAUCCCUACUUUAAGGAUGAGGAAACUGAGGUUCAGAGAGCUGGUUGGCAGAGAUCUCAUGGCUUGGAAGGGGCAGAAUAAGGACUGAGCCUGUGCUUCUGCCUCCACCGCCCUACCAGGCAGGAGUUAACAAUAACAAACCUAUAAUAAAUAACAUCAUUGUUCACAUUGACUUGUUGGGCACCUACUGUGUGGGGGCGUGUUACCCUCUUUAUCUCAGGGAAUCUUCAGACAUACCUCUAAGUGGGGGAUUCUUAUCUA